Molecule: ribosomal RNA, 333 nt
Filed under: uncultured bacterium
Lineage: Bacteria
Description: partial 16S ribosomal RNA
Rfam family: Bacterial small subunit ribosomal RNA
Source: RNAcentral
CCUACGGGCGGCAGCAGUGGGGAAUAUUGCACAAUGGGGGAAACCCUGAUGCAGCGACGCCGCGUGGGUGAAGGAGCGUUUCGGCGCGUACAGCCCUGUCAGCGGGGAAGAAGAAAGAAGGUACCCGACCAAGAAGCCCCGGCUAACUACGUGCCAGCAGCCGCGGGAAUACGUAGGGGGCGAGCGUUAUCCGGAAUGACUGGGUGUAAAGGGAGCGUAGACGGCGAGUUAAGCCUGAAGUGGAAGCCCGCGGCCCAACCGCGGAACGGCUUGGGGAACUGUUUUGCUGGAGUAUGGUAGGGGUAAGCGGAAUUCCUGGUGGAGCGGUGAAAU